This 28-nucleotide non-coding RNA is filed under the name Rattus norvegicus (Norway rat). The record is from RNAcentral. Lineage: Eukaryota; Metazoa; Chordata; Mammalia; Rodentia; Muridae.
UCCAAAUGUGUGCAACACAGCCUUUCUG